CUGCGAGACACCCAUGGUGCUGGGACACCUGCAGUCAGGACACCUGCACAGUCAGGCACAGAUCACUUCAGGACUGGCUGAAGAACAAGAGUUAGUCAAGAAAAGCUGAAGUCCACAGAGGGAUGGCAUCCUGCUCUUCUGAGGGAAAAGUGAGUCCUCAAUGUGUUCCCAGCCCUCCUCACUCUCAGACUGAACCUUUUCUGGGUGCAGAGUAGCAGAAAGUAAAGCAGUUGUAGUGGCUGUGAACUCCUUCAAACAGCUCUGAUGACCCAGAGGUUUCUUUCAUUCCUGAAAGAAACAAGCAGCUUGUUAGAAACAAACUUAUUUCUGUUUUAAAACAAAACUACCUGCUAUAAAGCAUCUUACUCAUUUUCUCCAGCAGCCUGAGUGUCUGUGGGAACCAGUGAGCCCUUCCUUUGUACCAAACUCUUUAUUUUUCAAUUGCUUGACAUUGCAGGUUGCAGUGCAACUGAGUGAGUUCUAGGCAUCAGUAAUAAAACUCUGCUGUUUGCCAGUGACCUCUGCCUUUUACUUACUUCAUCCUCCUGCAGGUAACGCACACCAGGUGUGUUACCCUUCAACUUUCUCUUGGUUGUAUCCCCCAAAAACCACCCUGUGUCCCUGUGCUGCUGUGUCAUUCCACCUGCAGGCACCAGAACACCUGGUUGGGGACCAGCACUUUGAUAUUUCUCCAGCCUUGGACUUUACAGCAGUGUGGUGUAACGAGACUCAGCACCACGAGCCCCUGCCCUGAAACAGAAAUAGCUUCUGCAGCCCUGUUUUCUGUUUGCACUCUGAAUCACUGCUUCAACUGUCCCCACUCUUCUGCAUUCCUGGGUUAGCCACUGCCCUGGCUCAAGGUGAGUUUCAGGGAUGUGGUGUUUAGUAUGUUUUAGUAAUAGCUUGGAGUCAUUAAUGCUGCUGAUUCAAAAGAGCACUGCCCACCCAAAACCCUCCUCACCUGAGAGCACAGCAGGGACACAGUCCCUCCCCCCUGCCCAGUACAGCAACACCCUCGGGACUGGUGUUAGAGCAGCGCUGCUGCUUUUGUUCAAGAGUUAAAUUAACGUGACAGCCUCUCUCAGCUGCCAGUUUGGAGUUAAACUGAACACUUGGGGAUUGCAGGGAGGGAAUAGUCCACCUCCAGCCACGUCCUCCAGCUUCCAAACUGGGAUGCUGUACCCACAGAACCUCUGGAGCUGCCAAAGCCACCAGCAACCAUCCAAUCUCCUCUGCUGUGUGAACAGAGCAGCCCCAGCCUGGAUCCAGCACUGGAAUGUCAGAUUGGACUCCUGCUGCCAGGGAGAACAAGUGGAUGAGCCCUGGGAAGGGAGGAACCCGCUCACCCCCAGGUCAUCCUGCAAAUGGCACAGCUCCUCACGGAGAUUCUUGAAAGUGGAAAGCACAAGUCUCAGGGAUUUAUCCGACGUCGCUCUCAUCUAGGAGGGAAAGAAUGAAAUGGAUAAUUGGGAUUAAUUAGCCCUGUUUACAAAAUGAAAUGGAUAAUUGGGAUUCAUUAGCUCUGUUUACAAUAUGCUUGACAAGAGGUAGAACAGAAACUGCUGUACAGCUGAAAAUAAGUUUUAAACACUGCACAUGCUUUGAAGUGCCCACAGUUUCUACAAGAAACACAUUUUCAUGCACUUUGUUCUGCAAGUGCCACAGUUUUAAAUUGCUACCUUGCAACACAGGACAACAUUCUAAAAUGGAAGGAAUAAGAGAGUAAGGAACUGCCUUUGUAUACCAAUAAAGGGAAAAAUGAACGUGCUAAUAUUGCACAAUCAUUGAGCAUUCAAAGCUUUGUGCUUACACUGAUUCAAAAAAAAUGACUGCCCUGCCUGAGAAGCCAUGGAAUGAGUCAUGUUUGAGAUCUGCAAAGCUUUGGGCUCAAGGGUGAGGGAAUUUAAUUAACAUUUUCAAAAAUUUAAUUUAAAAAAGUUCAUACAACCAACUCCUCCCCUUAGAAGGAGAAAGAUCCCAAAGAUGAAAGGAGUCACCUGGAUGAAAGAGAAAGGCAGAAGUGCAUCACAGCCAAGCACUGUUCUCCUUUGGAAUGUUAAUUUUAAUGCCUGUAAGAGCUGUCAAUUGAUUCAGGUGAAAACACAAGUUGUUGCAUUUCAUGAUACAUUUUUGGUAUUUGAAAGAAGAAAUACAGACUUUGAAAGGACACCCAAGUAAAUCCUUAAGUUGUGACUCCCCUGGAAGGGCUGAAUAUUCUGUGCAAAAGCUGUUCUUUACUGUCUGGACAAAGUGAUCCUUCCUGUCUGUUCCCUUGAUUUGCUGCUCAUCCCAACUGCAGGAUGUGCUGCAGUUCCAUCCAUGUGGGCACUGGCCUUUCUGUGAUUUUUUUAUCCCCACUGGUGCCACUGUGAGAC
This is a long non-coding RNA of Empidonax traillii (willow flycatcher), 2375 nucleotides long. RefSeq lists it as uncharacterized. The record is from RefSeq and is a predicted model, not a curated record. Lineage: Eukaryota; Metazoa; Chordata; Aves; Passeriformes; Tyrannidae. The transcript has 4 exons.